AGUGAACGCUGGCGGUAUGCCUAACACAUGCAAGUCGAACGGCAGCACAGUAAGAGCUUUCUCUUACGGGUGGCGAGUGGCGGACGGGUGAGGAAUACAUCGGAAUCUACUUUUUCGUGGAGGAUAACGUAGGGAAACUUACUCUAAUACCGCAUACCACCUACGGGUGUAAGCAGGGGAGCUUCUUACCUUGCGCGUUAGAACGAGCCGUUGUCGGAUUAGCUAGUUGGCGGGGUAAAGGCCCACCAAGGCGACUAUCCGUAGCUGGUCUGAGAGGAGGGUCGGCCACACUGGAACUGAGACACGGUCAAGACUCCUACGAGAGGCAGCAGUGGGGAAUAUUGGACAAUGGGCGCAAGCAUGAUCCAGCCAUCGCGCGUGGGUGGAGGAGGCCUUCGGGUUGUAAAGCCCUUUUGUUGGGAGAGAAAAGCAGCAGGUUAAUACGCCGCUGUUCUGACGGUACCCAAAGAAUGAGCACCGGCUAACUUCGUG
This 492-nucleotide ribosomal RNA is filed under the name uncultured bacterium. RNAcentral's name for it is "partial 16S ribosomal RNA". It matches the Rfam family "Bacterial small subunit ribosomal RNA", at positions 29 to 507 of the family's 1533-position model. The record is from RNAcentral.